This 609-nucleotide ribosomal RNA is filed under the name fungal endophyte. RNAcentral's name for it is "eukaryotic LSU rRNA". The stretch from base 179 to 332 matches the Rfam family "5.8S ribosomal RNA". The record is from RNAcentral. Lineage: Eukaryota; Fungi.
UAAAGAGUUCUAUAACUCCCAAACCCAUGUGAACAUACCUAACGUUGCCUCGGCAGGUCGCACCUACCUUGUAGCACCUUACCCUGUAAGGCCUACCCGGGAGGUGCGGGUAAGCCUGCCGGCGGCCCACCAAACUCUGUUUGAUAUUGAAUUCUGAACCUAUAACUAAAUAAGUUAAAACUUUCAACAACGGAUCUCUUGGUUCUGGCAUCGAUGAAGAACGCAGCGAAAUGCGAUAAGUAAUGUGAAUUGCAGAAUUCAGUGAAUCAUCGAAUCUUUGAACGCAUAUUGCGCCCAUUAGUAUUCUAGUGGGCAGGACCGUUCGAGCGUCAUUUCAACCCUUAAGCCUUCGUUGCUUAGUGUUGGGAGCCUACGGCAACGUAGCUCCUCAAAGUUAGUGGCGGAGUUGGUUCACACUCUAGACGUAGUAAUUUUUUAUCUCGCCUAUUAGUUGAACUAAUACCCUGCCGUAAAACCCCCAAUUUAUCAAGGUUGACCUCGAAUCGGUUCAGACAAACUCGCUAAAUUGAAGCAUCUUAGUCAGCGAAGGAAAAGAAACCAACAGGGAUUGCCCUAGUAACGGCGAGUGAAGCGGCAACAGCUCAAAUU